AAAGAAAUUGGAACAGAAAACAGAUGCGUACUAAACAGAGUCAUUGUUCAGGUGUAGCAGCUAUAAUUCUAAGUUUUGGGACUUGCAGUAACAAUUUAAGAGCUAAUCUUCCAAAUAGAAAUGGUCUUAGGCCACUAAAGAACUAAAAGGAAAAAUAAUAAGAGGAAGAAAUGACUCACCUCAUCAAGAAGAAGCGAUUUCUCUUUUGAUAUGCAUACGAAACACACGUUUUGUUCUAGUGCAUCACACUCUCUCUUUACUAUUUUAUGCUCUCAACCUCCCCUUUCACUCACUUGUUUAACUAGAAUUUUUUGUUUGAAGAAAAUGAAGACGAAGUUGUGAAGAGAAGGAAGUUUUUAACUAAAUUUAACCCAUCAUCUAAUCACAGCUGUUGAUAUGUUGGAUGGUCGACCACAACUUGAAAAGAUGGCCAGUUUUCAUGACACCUAGUCGGUCAUCACAGCAGCUCACCAUGUGGCUCGGUCCUGGCCACAAUUUGGAACAGUGAGUGGUGUCAAAUCAGGGGCAACCAAUCUGCCCCUGAGUGCUGAUCAUUUCCAGCAGCAAACUAUUCAAAUUAAUUUCUUUUAUUUGUAUGUUAUUCUUUAAAAAUUUAUUUUAUUUACACAUAUAUAUAUACUAUACCUAUAUAUAUGCAUACAAUAGUUGAAUAUGGAUGUUUAUAUAUAUAUGCAUACAAUAGUUGAAUAUGGAUGUUUAUAUAUAUAUUUUAUCUAGACAUAUCUAUAUUUCUUAGAGAUAUAUAUAUACACACAAAUACAUAUAUGUGUGUUUAUUUUCUUAUUA
This 807-nucleotide long non-coding RNA is filed under the name Carica papaya (papaya). RNAcentral describes it as "long non-coding RNA (CPAP_LNC013743)". Lineage: Eukaryota; Viridiplantae; Streptophyta; Magnoliopsida; Brassicales; Caricaceae. The record is from RNAcentral.